GACGAACGCUGGCGGCGUGCCUAAUACAUGCAAGUAGAACGCACAGUUUAUACCGUAGCUUGCUACACCAUAGACUGUGAGUUGCGAACGGGUGAGUAACGCGUAGGUAACCUGCCUGGUAGCGGGGGAUAACUAUUGGAAACGAUAGCUAAUACCGCAUAAUAUUAAUUAUUGCAUGAUAAUUAAUUGAAAGGUGCAAUUGCACCACUACCAGAUGGACCUGCGUUGUAUUAGCUAGUAGGUGAGGUAACGGCUCACCUAGGCGACGAUACAUAGCCGACCUGAGAGGGUGAUCGGCCACACUGGGACUGAGACACGGCCCAGACUCCUACGGGAGGCAGCAGUAGGGAAUCUUCGGCAAUGGACGAAAGUCUGACCGAGCAACGCCGCGUGAGUGAAGAAGGUUUUCGGAUCGUAAAGCUCUGUUGUAAGAGAAGAACGGGUGUGAGAGUGGAAAGUUCACACUGUGACGGUAUCUUACCAGAAGGGACGGCUAACUACGUG
Molecule: ribosomal RNA, 504 nt
Filed under: uncultured bacterium
Lineage: Bacteria
Description: partial 16S ribosomal RNA
Rfam family: Bacterial small subunit ribosomal RNA
Source: RNAcentral